This 492-nucleotide ribosomal RNA is filed under the name uncultured bacterium. RNAcentral's name for it is "partial 16S ribosomal RNA". It matches the Rfam family "Bacterial small subunit ribosomal RNA", at positions 30 to 507 of the family's 1533-position model. The record is from RNAcentral.
AGUGAACGCUGGCGGUAGGCCUAACACAUGCAAGUCGAACGGCAGCACAGUACGAGCUUGCUCUUACGGGGGGCGAGUGGCGGACGGGUGAGGAAUACAUCGGGAUCUACUUUUUCGUGGGGGUUAACGUAGGGGGACUUACGCUCAUACAGCAUCCGCCCUACGGGGGAGAGCGGGGGAUAUUCGCGGCUUGCGCGGUUGAAUGCGCGGAUGUCGGAUUAGCUGGUUGGCCGGUGGAAGGCCAACCAAGGCGAGGAUCGGUAGCCGGUCUGAGAGGCUGGUCGCCGACAUUGGAACGGAGACACGGUCCAGACUCCUACGGGAGGCAGCAGUGGGGAAUAUGGGACAACGGGGGCAAGCCUGAUACAGCCAGACCGAGUGGGUGAAGAAGGCCUCCGGGUUGUAAAGCCGGUCUGUUGGGAAAGAAAAGCAGCAGGUUAAUACCCCGCGGUUCUGACGGUACCCAAAGAAGAAGCACCGGCUAACUUCGUG